Triticum dicoccoides is the source of this 2429-nucleotide long non-coding RNA. RefSeq lists it as uncharacterized. NCBI's taxonomy places the organism in Eukaryota, Viridiplantae, Streptophyta, Magnoliopsida, Poales, Poaceae. The transcript has 2 exons. The record is from RefSeq and is a predicted model, not a curated record.
UUGGUGGCUCUGUUUAGAUAAUGUCGAGGAGAGAGAGAGAGAGUUUGAGAGGUGGAGUAGAGGAGACAAUUCCUUCUGUUCAUGUGGAUUCCGAGAUAUUCCACCGCUCGAUCUUAUUUUCUCUUCUCUUUCUCUUCGUUCCCUGGCUGCCGCGGUCGGUUGUUCUUGUCUCUCGCCCUCGCAGGUAUGAUUUUGCUUGUGUUGUAGCUGUGUAGCUUCAAAAUCUAGGCUGAGUUUCUUGUUUGGAUCCGUGGCAAGUGCAUGUUGCGGCCAUGUUGUAGUCUGCCAUUUUGCUCCCCUUCUACUUGCCUGAGAUGGGUGAUUUGUUCUGUCAGUCAUCGGGUAUUCUAGGUCAUCUGGUCGUUGUGGUCGUUUUCACCCCUGCUGAUUUGUUUCCUCUACCGUAGAUGUAGAGGUAGGCGAAGUUGUAGUUGUAGUGGUGGAUUCCCCUGUCGAUUUUAUUUCUGCUGGCCUGGGUGUCUAUUCCGCCUGCAUUUUUAUCGGUAGAUGUAGUUGUAGAUGGCUUGGCCUGGGAUUCUACUGGCUUAUGCAAUGUGGAUGUAGUAGCUAAUUUGUGUAUCCUUCCUCUGAAUUUGUUUGCCCUUCCUAGUUUGAUUUUGGCCCGGCCCUUUCUGAUGUAGAUGUAGGUGCUAUUUGUUUAAGUUUCCGGCUCUAUUAUGGUUUCUGAAUUGUUGACUCCUUAUGUGUUUUACCUGCACAUGUUUGCUCUUGGUAGUUUCUGAAUCCCUCAUGAAUUUUUCUUGUUAGAUAUAGGUGUUCAGUUUCCCUGGUUCCUGAAUCUCAAUGAAUUUGUGUGUACUAGGCCUGUAGUGCUGAUGUAGUGUCAGUCCAUGGAUUUUUCUUAUUUUUGUCAGUGCAAUAUACCUCAGAAUUGAAGUGUAAUGUAUCCCAUAAUUGGAGUGUGAUCCCCAUGCUUCUUUAUUGUAAUUAUAGUGUAAUGUACCCUAAAAUUAUAGUGUAUUCUAUCUCAGAUGGCACUGUAUAUGCCUAAAAUUGCAUUUUAAUUUACUAACCCCAGAUUUACAGUGUAAUAUACCCUAGAUUUUCACUGUAUUUUGUAUGCUUCAGGACUGUAAUUGUUGCAUAGUUACACUGUAUUAUUUCCCAGUUUUACACUGUAAUUUGCAUGGUACAACACUGUAAUUGUUGUAGGGCUUUCAGUUCAGUUUGUGUUAGAUAGACUACUUUCAAAUGCUUCAUCACUGUAGUAUACCCUAGAUUUUCUCUGUAAUUUAUAUGCUUGAGAACUGUAAUUGUUAUAUGCUUCAGAUAGAUUACAUCGGCUUCUUCGUCUGGGCUUACACUGUAGUAUACCAUAGUUUUACACUAUAAUUUGUAUGGUUCGACAUUGUAUUUGUUGUAGGUAUUUGCGAGGUAGAUUACAGUGGAUUUUACCUUUGAAUUGGAGGGCUUACACUGUAAUUUACUGCAGAUUUACACUGUAAUUUGAAUGCUUCAACACUGUAUUUGUUGUAGGGCUUACAACGUAUUUGUCAGAUAGAUCACAGUUGAUUUACCUCUGAUUUUGCAGCGUAAUUAGCAUGCUUUUAGGACUGCAAUUCAUGUAUUUUCUUGCUUUUUUAUUUUUCUUAUUUUCUUGUGCUAGUGUGUCUCUGUUGAAGUAGUAUUGAGCAGAGUUCCUGUUUUAGGUUGAUGAUUGUUUUUGUGUUCUUUCUAGAUUUGUCUAGUAAAUAGCGUUGCGUUAGCUGUUCAUGUGUAUUCUUUAAUGAAGUGUAUGGAGAUUUGUUCUACUAUUUUACUUCUUUUCUUUUUCCUCCUUCAUGUAUUCUGUUUAUAUGUUUUAUUUAGUUUAAUGAGUAGGCUACGGAAAGUCUCUCAUCCGGAUGUUUGGUUAGUAUCAUCUCUUGAGAAUGCAGAUUCUGUGGGUGAACCUAUUGUGCCUAACGACUUUGCAGAAGAUGGUUCUUAUCCUAUGUCUACGGAACUAUCUGGUGAUGAAGGGGGGUUUGACAAAUCUCUUUUGAAGUUCUAUCUGAAUCAAGUGUGUUUUCCAUUUCUUGUACUAUUUUGAUUUUGUUUUGGGUAUUUUCUUUGGGUGGCCCUUGUGUUUUUGUCAUUUCAGAAAGUAAAAUGCCUGAAAGGAAAUUAUCAUCCGCUUCCAUGUUCAUAGGCCCAUCUCCAGAGUGUACCUGCAAGCAAAAGGGCAAUUUUUUUUCUAUAGUUGUGCUUUUCUCAGAUUGGUAGCUCUGUGGUAUUUGAAUUUUGCUUUUACCAUGAAUAAUGUCGGAAUGUAGAAGCGCGGUGAUAGAAAAUGUGUCCUGCGGCAUAUUUGUUGUGAGCUUUCAUUAUUAUUUAUGUAUUUAGAAUGUUCCUAUAUUGUCUUUCAACAUAUUCUGAAACAAAUGUGUAACUCACAUUUAGAAUGAGUUCUUCCUGUGACAAUCUCA